GGUUGCCUGUUUCCAUUCUUUCUGCUGGCCCUCAGGGCUUCAGUCCUGUCACCCCACCCCACCCUCCACCCCUUUUCCUCCAAUACCUGAUCUUGUCCCGCUCAUCCCUUCCCUUUCCACUUUCUCUCCCAAGUCCCUCCCUCCUGUGAUUGCAUUCUUCACCCUCCCAAGUGGGGUAGAGACAUCCUUACUGGGGUCCUUGCGCUUGUUAGCCUUCUUGAGUCCUGUGGAUUGUAUACUGGGCAUUCUGUACUUUUUUAUUAAUGAGUACAUACCAUGCAUGUCUUGAGUUACCUCACUCAGAAGUUCUAGUUUUUUUAGUGGAAUGUUUCUUUUAGUCUCAAUGGUUUCAAUAUUAUGGAGGGGGGGGGGCGGAGACUUAAAAUUGUACAUCCUGAAUCAUUUUUGAAAGAAAUGUUUUACCGAGGAGGAUUGUAUCUUAACUAUCAUGAAAAGAGUGAGAGAGACAAAGAGACAGAGUGACAGAGACAGACAGAGAGAGAGAGAGAGACAGAGAGAGAGAGAGAGAGAGAGAGAGAGAGAGAGAGAGACAGAGAAGAAAAGAAAGAAUAUUAAGGGCACAAAAAAUAAAAAUUGAAAUAAGUUUUUCUUUAUUGUUUAAAUUAUACAAUUUAAAAAUAUAAAAAAAUUAAUAUUAAAUACUUACCAAGAAUUAGUUUCUGGCAAAAUGGCUUUCCACGUGCUAUAUAUCAUCUUAUUUGACCUAAAUUAUUCUCAUAUCAUUUCUACUCAUUACAUUUGGUACCUUGUUACUUCCAUACAGUGCGUUUUGUUCAUAUUUACUUCCUCUUCCUCACACAUCCUAGCACUUUUCACCAUCUACAGAAUUUUAUGGGAAAUUAUAUUUAUGCAAUUAAUUCAUGUUAGAACAAAGAAUCUAUGAAUCUUUUCAACAAUACAUAUCCUAUGUAUACAUAUUAUGUCAUUAGAAUCUAAUUACUAUAAUUAUCAGAGCUUACUUGUUAAGAUACUUUUCAACACAUAUCAUUUUUCCAAUUAUUAUUCUCUGUUUAGUAAACAGAAAUACUUCUUUUUUCAUGAUUUAAUAUCACAUACUGAGUUUAAAAUGCAGUUAAAUUUUUAAAAUAUUUACAAAGAAAAUAAUAAGUGUUUCAAGCAAAAACAGAGAAACAUGUAACAGAAAUUACAAUUCAUCUUUUCUCUGGUAAUUUUUACAAAAUAUAAAAGUAUAUAAAUAAAAUAUAGUGUAGGUUUCACAAAUAAAAUUGUUUCAAUUGUCUUCUAAAUUAGAUAUAGUAUUUUCUAUACAUUCAGAAAAAAUAUCAAAACUAGCAACUAUCUUAUAAUUUGCUUAUAUUCACAUUAAAAUAUCAAAGAAAUAUAAAUAUAUCUUUAAAUAUAUUUUCUAAUGAAAAUGAUUAAUAUGUAUAACAUUAUUAAUAAUUCUCUAUCUAGGACUUGUUCUUUAAUUAUAAUUAUAUAAAAUGAUUGUACUCUAGAAUGAAAGAAAGAAAUGUUGUAGGUUUAGGAAAAUAUGGCUUAAAACUAUUCCUGUUUCAUCCUUUCGCCAAACAAUUCCUAAAGUCUAUAAUUAAGCCAUCUUGCUUUAGUCUGUCUUAAUUAGAAUUUAUAUUUAUGUAUGAAUCAAGUAUCUUUGUUCUUGUUAGAAGUUUUGCCAAAUGAUGUGUCAUGCAGAGCUAAUACAGAGCUAUGGAAUCUUAUGUUAGAUUUUUACAAAAAUCCAUUCCUAAGAAAGUUAUUGACCUGUUUUGCUCAUUUCAUGUCGUAUCUAAAAUAACAACACAUUGUAUAGCAUGAAUAUAUACUAUACUGCAAUAAGCUGGAAGGAAACAAUUUAAAAUACUGUGACUUCAGAAUGAAGACCAUGGUAUUAGAAAUGAAGACAGUUAAUACUCAACAUACUUAUAUGCUGGUGUACUAAACUCCAGUCUGUGAAAGGUACAUUUGUGAGGGUGGGGGAAAUUUUGUUAAAUAUUUGAUCAGAAUAUAUUGUACAAAAAAAUAAAUUAAAAAAUAUAAAAAAGCCACGUGUAACAUUUAUAUUCAGGGUCUUAGUAAUUUUAUAGAUAAAUGGUAGAUGAUGAGCCAUUUUUGAAGGUACCAUAAGUAUACAGACUAAGAGUAAUUACAAAUGUUUACUCUAUAUGUAUUCCAUAACUAUAUAUGCCAAUUCUCACAUAACCUUAAAUAUCUUGUCUAAGACAAAAAAACCAACAGAAUUUGGGACAGCUGCUGGCGGCCUGUGGAUUCUGCAUGAAAAGACACCACAAAGCUGGCAAGACACUCUUUGAGGAAGGCUAAUGCAAAUUUGAAUGAGCAAGUCUGUUUUGAGGGAAUAGAGGCAGGGAAACAGCUUGCUACCACCAAUGCAAUUUAAUCCCACUUUGGAAGACACUGCCACCUGCAUCCAACUGUUUCAUAGGUGUGUGAUUCAGGCUUUGGGAAGUUGCAUAUCUUCCCUGGGGAACCCCUACUGACAGAUGUUCCUAAGUUACAGAGAAAAGGCAAUUGGAAUUGAAAUGAGCCUGAGGGAUUUUUAAAAUAAGGCUUCCAUAGAAAAAUCAGGUUAAAACACGCAUUAAUUUUCUUAUAUUUGUAUUAACCCAGUACUGCAUUUACCUUCAUACUGAUUUAAGAUUAAAUUUGACACAAAUAUAUUUAAAAAUCAUAGUUUUAGGAAAUUUUUAGAAAUGUUUUUAAAAGAUUACAACAUGCACCACAUUUGGCUCAACAAUUGUUUUAUACUAGAAAGGGAUGUUUUAUGAAAUUACCCAAAAGUCUGAGAUUGCAACAAAUUUAUCCUUAGUUUAAUGUUACAAAACCACUGAUAUUUUAUAGACUUCCACACUUCUGAAAGCAUAGGUACUCUUGCCAGCAUCUGAAUCUCAUUUUCUAUCUCAAUCGUGCCUGCUCAAAGCCAGUUUCCAAAGAAUAUUCUACCAUAUAAUUUUCUAUUUUCUCCCUUUAUAUAGUGCGAAGUUAAUAAUGUAAGAUAUACAAUGCAUGCAAUGUACAGUAUACAGUGUAAGAUAUAAAGAUAUAAGUCAUAAUACAAGUUAGAUGCUUACAAGUUUUCUUUUGAAAAUUACAUUUCAUAAAUUUCCAGAGAAAUUAGGAAGAAUCUGAUAUAAAAAUAAUCUUGAAAAUUGAGAAACAUUUAUAUUCUAAAAUUAAAGUUUCAGACUGAAAAAAUUCCAGGAAUAACAUGGCAGAUUAAUAUAUUUACAUGAAGUAAAAAUUUGCAUACAUUUUAUUUUAGGAGGUGUUAGAGGUAAUGAUAAGUUCUGUGUCAUGAAUAGCAUAUGACAGAUAUUGUUAUCAACUUUUAAGACAUUAUUAUUUGAUUGACAUUUUUCUUGGAGAAAGUUAUACCUAUCUCAGACUUUAACCAGUUGCCUUCCUUCCUGCCUCUCCCCAUCUUCUUCCCUUCCCUCAUUUUCACUUUCUUUUCUCUUUUGCUUUCAUUUAUUAUAUCCACUAUUGUUUAUGAAACACCGUGUUAAACCUUUAAAUAGCAAAGUGUUUAAAUUUCUCAAAUGUCAGUUUUACAAAAAUGUGUGUAUGAAAAUUUACUUUGACUUGGAGAAUAAACACUCAAAGGGUAUUUUUUUUUUUAAGUAAAUCAUCUCUUUUAGGCUAGCAAGACGAUUCCUCUGUGAAACAGGCUGCGGUCAAUCCUGCACCGAUGAGGUCACCUCCAGGCUCAUAUCGAAGAGAGAUAGAACCAACUCUCAUACAUGUCUUCUGAGCAUCAUAUGAGACACACACACACACACAAGCACACACGGAGGGUGCUUCUCUGCCAUUCGGUAUGCCCCUCCUUAGAAUUGGGAACAAAACACCCAUGGAAGGAGUUACAAAGACAAAGUUUGGAUCUGAGAUGAAAGGAUGGACCAUGUAGAGACUGCCAUAUCCAGGGAUCCACCCCAUAAUCAGCAUCCAAACGGUGACACCAUUGCAUAUACUAGCAAGAUUUUAUCGAAAGGACCCAGAUGUAGCUGUCUCUUGUGAGACUAUGCCGGGGCCUAGCAAACACAGAAGUGGAUGCUCAUAGUCAGCUAAUGGAUGGAUCACAGGGCUCCCAAUGGAGGAGCUAGAGAAAGUACCCAAGGAACUAAAGGGAUCUGCAACCCUAAAGGUGGAACAACAUUAUGAACUAACCAGUACCCCGGAGCUCUUGACUCUAGCUGCAUAUGUAUCAAAAGAUGGCCUAGUCGGCCAUCACUGGAAAGAAAGGCCCAUUGGACACGCAAACUUUAUAUGCCCCAGUACAGGGGAACGCCAGGGCCAAAAAGGGGGAGUGGGUGGGUAGAGGAGUGGGGGUGGGUGGGUAUGGGGGACUUUUGGUAUAGCAUUGGAAAUGUAAAUGAGGUAAAUACCUAAUAAAAAUGGAAAAAAAAUGCAAAAAAAAAAAAAAGAAAAGAAAAGAAACAAAUACAAGAGAGGAAAUACCGACAAAGAAAGUGGAUACCAUAGCGUGCGGACUUUGUGUUAAACCUGUUGUGCCUAUGACUUUCAAACGGAUUGGUUGAGAAAAUUUGAAUACUAGUCUAACAAUUCAUAUGCCAGAGAAGCUCUAGAAAUCUAAACGUAGAAAUGAAGGGCCGUGCCAGUGAGGCUGGGCAAGUCUGGAAUAUUUUGCAGAUCUGUCAGUUUAAAGUGACAGAAAUGAAGGAAGUGAGGGUGGGGGAGAAGCUGUGUGAGGGGGAGACUGGGAGAAGAGGGAGGCUGGUAUUGAGAUAUAAAGCAAAUAAACAGAUGAAUUAGUUUUUAAAAAGCGAGAGAGAGAGAGAGAGAGAGAGAGAGAGAGAAUGAGUGUGAUUGUUGAUAUCCAUGGGAGGUCUGCCCUUUUCUAAAUAGCAAUGGAGGAGGAGUAAUGGGGAGGAAUGGGGGGGGGUGCACAUGUGGGCAAUGGCAGGGGCGUUGGGCGGAGGGGAGGGAAACAGUCUGUAAAUAAUAAUAAAUUCAGUACAACCAAAGAGAAACCCAGGACUCUGCACUGGGAAAACAAAAUGGUGUCAGGAGAAUAGGCGCUCACCCAACAAAGGCUCCACAUGCAAAUGCGUUUAAAGAGCAUAUUUGUAGUACCAGAAUUUUGGAGUGUCCUCUUUAAGCAGAGUUACUGGGCAAAAAAUGUUUCCUCUUGCUCACCCAUAUAUGUUCUUGGAGGCUGCUGCAAUCUAUGUUGAGGAAAACUGGCUACCUCGUGCGUUGACGGUAGAACUUGGCAUCUUCCGUGCGCCACUGCCUUUGUAGGCCUGUAGGAUGUAAGAGUAAGGGAACUGUUGAAGUUUCUGCCUGAAUGUGAUGUUAAGCAACUUGUUGCGGGUGUCUCUCACAUGGAAUCAAAUAGUGGGCUGUACCUAAAGCAGUGAAGGCGAAGUCCAAUGUAUACUGAAAAAUAUGAGAUCUUAGAGAGGCAGAAACUAUGUGAUGAUCACUGAAAAAAGCUGUUGGUGUUGAGUGAGAUGGUCCCAUAAGAGAUGCUAAAUGUUUGUACUAUAAGCAGCAGAAUGGAGAAUGUGUGUCUGUUCUGAGGCUGUUACAGAUCCAAUCAUGCCAUUCUGACCCCUGUUCGCAAACAGGGAGACUAGAGAGGAUUUCCUAUUUGUCCUCAAAGUUUUAAUCCUAGUUUAGAUCCUGUCUUUCUACAGAGAAUGGCGAUGUUUACUGCUGCCUUUUUAUAUAUUAGAAUGAUUUUUCAAAGAAACAGACAUUCCCGGCGGAUGUAUUACAUUGAGUCAACGAAGACUUCACACUUUUGAACAAUGUUAGAAGUGUAAGAUUAUGCGGAUAUUUGAACUCCUAAGAAACAAGGAAUAAAUUCUAUGCUACACAGAAGAACACGCAAACAACGUGCACUUGUUUGUAUUCUCAUGCAGGUGGUACCUGUCUGUACUCCCCAUUGACCGAGGUCUGACCUCAGACUCCUUCACACCUGACAAGUAUUAAACUGUCACAAUGAAAGAACACAUAAGGAAGCUUGACCACUCAGGCCAUUAAGUUGUAAAAAAUGCACAGAAUGCAGACUCUGUGAAAACUAAGUAUUUAUGGAGUAGAAGUAUGUGUAGGGUUUGAGAUAUUUGCAUAAAAGUCUUACGAGGUAUUUUGUGUAAAAGAUUUGAAUUCCUUGUCUUACACAUCAGCAUUGGAGUGUUUGGCAGAAAAAGCUGGAAUUUAAUGUUUCUUAUCUGAACAUAUUUCACAGUAUGGAAUAGCUAUGAACCAAUAGCAUCCAAGAAUGGAAUGCUGUGUUUUAGCUGUAAUAUACCCUCUGUGUCAUCUGUAAGAUGUUUGCAGUCUAAUACCCAGCUGAUAGUGUUUUGGUGAAGUUAAGUUGUGAAACAGCAGUGUGGUAAAGCCUGCCUGGAGAAGAGAGCCUCUGACAUAGAGAAUCAGGGAGGGAAACACACAGGAAGUGAAGGUAGAGCCCUGGCCUGUUUCUGUCCCCAGUCUCCAGUUCUGUACUCUCUGUCAUGCUUCACUCCUUUUGAAAAUAAGAUAUUGAAACAAAUAAUUAAUGGAAAAUAAUAAACAAAUAUUAAAAAUUCCUCUCAACGUUUUAUGAUGUUUACAUGAUAUAGCUCUUAGUUUCUUUCCCUAACAUAUGACAGAACAAUUCAAAAAGGCAAGUACUGCUAAAAGUAUUGCAAGAGACUGUGGAAAUUUCUUAUUCUAAAUUUUAAAUCUACUUGGAGGAAGCAUCUCUGUGCAUGAUGUAUUCACGUAACUUCUCCUGUCAAAAUUAAAAUAAUGGUAAGAAUUUCAAUAUACACACAUGACUGUGGUUGAAUUUUCUGAUGCUUUUAAGGUUAUUUAUUUCAUUAACAAUAGAUUAUGAAAAGAUUGCUUCCAGUGAUCAUCUUAACUACAAUCUGCAUGUGUUCAGUGACAGCUAAUUUACCACCGUCCUGAAACACUGAACAGGAUCACCUGAGGUGGGAAUCAGUGAUAGGCAGAUCUUUGCUUGGCCUUACUAACUUCUAAUGUAAAUUUUAACCUACCUGUGAUACUAGGUGAUAAUACUAUGAUAAAUAAAAUCCAGUACGUGAUGGAAAAGAAACAUGUGGUACAUGUUCACUGAGGAUUUUGUUACAGAGACAAAUUCGUAGGAGGCAAAAAGUGGAUUUCUUUCAAAGCAGUGAUAUGUAUUUGGUUAGUUCAUGUUGAUAUGGUAACCACAGAGGGUACUCUCUGGCUCUUGUACUAUAUUUACCAGUAAGUCUAUUACUGGCUGUAAGAGAGCUAUGCAUUUCGGUAUGUCAAUCUGUAAUAGUUUAUCUAGUGAAAAGACCUAUAUGGAUCUAUUAGGUUGAGGUUCUAGUUAAAGGCCUAUGGUCAUUUCAGAAUAUAAGUAUAUCAUGUUAUAAAUUAAUUUUACACAAGCAAGAAAACGUUAUGAAUUUAAUUGGCAUUAGUACAGUGAUCUUAAGUUAUAAAAAUCACUGCUCCUUAGUGAACCAUUCCUCUUCCUUCCUUAAGGGGAUGCCUAAUCCAUAGAAAAGGUAAUUUUUUGUCACCUACUUUCUGUCUUGUCUCAUAUUUUCUAAUGUAGUCUAUAUCCUUCAUGUCUCCUAUUUGCUUUUCUUCCCGUUGAGGUUGUAUCUUCAUAUUUUAAAAUUGUAAAGAACAAAUAUUACAUCUAGAAUUAUUGGCCAAAUAUUAUUUGUAUCAGUCUAGAUGAUGUGAUAUUUUGUAUUUUUUUUCUCACUGCAGCUCUUUGAAGUAGGAUGUUGGCCAAGGCUGACCUGCGGGUGAACUUCUGAGGUUCUCAGGGCAAACAGAGAUUACCUUUAUUCUUUUGAUAUGACAAUAUCCCUAACCAACUUAAAAAGAACUCUAUACCAUUGUUUUACAAAUAAAGCAAAUUAAAGUGUAAUGGGGGUUUCACAGUGGAAAGGCUCUGCCUUUUUUCCUCUAUGAAAACCUUCACUAAGAUCAUUCUCAUUUUAACGCCAGAGUAGUUUACUGAAUUUGAAAAUACUUUCCCUUUUCAUUUUGUAAAUAUUUGGUAUAUUUUCCUAGAAUUUUGCACACUUCCCUAUUAUUUACUGUAGCUGCAGCUUCUAUUUAAAUACAGUGAUUCUGGUAAAGGGAUGGCAAGCUCUAUUUUCUAAAUUCUGUAGUCAAUUCAAAUUCAUCAAAUUUAGAAUAAAGAUUAGAUUAAUAAAGGAAAACUGAACUUACAUAACUUACCUAAGUUUUUUAAGUAUUGUGUUAAAAUAAUUAAGUGGAAUGCUUUUUUAUUGGAUUUUUUUAAUGUUGUCAUUGUUUCUUUUUUUUUUUUUGCACUAUUUUAAAAUUGGAAAUUAUGUUUAUUUACUUUUCAAAUGUUAUUCCCUUUCCCGAUUCCUAACCCCCCUAGAAAUCCUCUAUCCAAUUCCCCCUUCUCCUGCUUCUAUGAGGGUGUACCCCCACCCUCCCUCCCACCCACUCCCUUCUCCCUGACCUCACAUCCCUGUACAUUGAGACAUCUAGCAUUCAGAGGACAAAGGGCCACUUCUCCAGUGAUGCCCAACAAGGACAUCAUCUGCUACAUCACAGUUGGAGCCAUGGGUUGCUUCAUGUGUACACUUUGGUUGGUGGUUUAGUCCCUGGGAGCUCUGCUUGGUUGAUAUUGUUGUCCUUCCUAUGGGAGGGCAAACCCUGUCAGCACCUUCUGUCCUGUUUCUAACUCCUCCAUUGAAGACCUGGUGAUCCAUUCAACAGUUGGCUGCAAGAGAGCAUCCACCUCUGUAUGUCAGACUCUCGCAGAGCCUCUCAGGAAACAGCUAUAUCAAGCUCCUGUCAGCAUGCACUCCUUGGCAUCCACAAUCGUAUUAUGUCUUCUGAGCUUUUGGGCUAAUAUCCACCUAUCAGUGAGUACAUAGCAUGUGUGUCCUUUUGUGAUUGUGUUACUUCACUCAGGAGGAUAUUUUCUAGUUACAUCCAUUUGCCUAAAGGCUCAUUUUCUGUUUUUCCUGCUUGAAACUUUGAGUGGUUUCAUACCUUUAAUAUUAAGGAUUAUGAGCUUAUCUAAGAAAUAUCAAAACUUUAAAGAGUGUUGGCAGAAAUUAAGAUUUACAAGGGUAUAGAAUACUGAAAUUUAAUGGCAAAUAUGAGGGGCACCAUUUUGCUAUCAUCAAGACUAUAAUUUAGUUUCUGAUAUGUCUUUAUAAACAACAUAAUGAUGUUAAAAGAAAAGAAAUGUAAAAAAUAUUUAGAAGGUGCAUGUGAAAAAAGGAAAAGAUUACAAGUUUAUUCCUUUCCAUAGUAUUCUCUGACUAAAAUGAGUUUUGAUGUUUAUGUAUGGAUGUACAUGAUACAUAGAGAGAAAUGAGGAAAGAAGGGAGACUUUUCUUCUUUGAGAACAUAAAGGAGUUAGGGGGAAAACAAGAGAAUGUUAGAAAAGAACUGAAGAAUAAAGGGGAUAAAACAAACAAAAAGUGUGGAAGAUGAUAAAUAUAAAACACUCAGAAUUUCAAUAUGAAAAUAUCAGUUGUCCUGUCUGUAGAAUGGGGAUUUAAAGAAUCAAAGGAAAGUAGACUUACUUAGACAUCUGCCUUAAUUCUGGGACAAGAGGAUGACUAAGUAAUUUUAGUAUCUUUAGGCAGAAGUUAGAGAGCUAUUAAACAAUCAAAAAUCAAUAAAUUGUAGGUUUCACUGAUAUGCAUGUGUGCACAAAGAAUGACUUAAAUGGUUCUUAGGUUUUUAACAUGUUCGAUUGGAUCAGAAUUUGUUAUUGCUCAUUCAAAUGCCGGCCAGUGGAGGAAGAUACCAUAAGCCUCCUGUGCAGUGAGAAGCACCUCUACCAAGGGUGUUUGGUUUAUAGGGGUGGAAUUCAAAAGCAGCUAAGAUGUAGCCAGGCAUUUGCAUAUCAAGGGUAAAUAUAAUGGACAACUAAGCCAGGUAGGUGGUAUGAAUACAUAAUAGAAAACCUGAGUAAGCAGAGAUAUACAGUAAUUCACAAAGAACAGAGAAGUUAAACAGCUAAGAGCAAAAUGUUGCAAAAGGAUCCAUGCGUAGAGGGAGAUCAACAAUCCCAUAGGACUGUGAUGUGUAACAAUGAGGCAUGCUGUUAUCUUUAUUCCUGUUUUUAGUAUUAACUUUAUUAUUUACUUAGAGGGUGUGCUGAAAUAACUGGAAAACUGAACACUGAAAGAUGUUCUUGGGGUAAAUUGUCAAGUGUUCUUAAAAUACAGGGGCUAGAGGAAUGACUUAUUCAGAGCACUUAGUACUCUCACUUAGGAUGUGAUUUGGCUUCCAGCACUCACAGAGCAGCAUACAAGCAGCCCAGAGAUUCAACACCUUGUUCUAGCACCAGUUGUCUCUAGACAUGCUUGCAAUCUAUAUACACAUGUGCUGGUAAAACACUCAUACACAUAGGAAAAAUAAAUACAACUUAUAAAAGCGUUCAUGAAAAGCUAUAUAUAUGUGUGCAUUUUGGGUAGAGUUUUGAGGAAAUUCAGUCUGGGUGUUUGUGAAGGACAGAAGUUUUGGACACUUUUGGAGCAGGAGUAAACAGGAGCUGUAAGAUGCUAAUGGGGAAGAUGAAUAUUGAUCCCAUGCCCUGAGUAAGAUCAGUAUGGACACUUAACCGUUGAUCCAUCAUUCUAGCUCCAUAUAUAAACUUUAAAAAAAAGUCUUUGAAAAUCAGUUAAUCAAAUGGAGACAUUGGUAGGCAUGUUGGAAUAAGUUAAAAGAAAAGUAUGAGUACUGAAGGAAAGCCUUGAAGAGGGUGCCGUAUGUUGACAGUGGUGACAUUGCUACACAGCAGAAGGCUGCAAGCCAUUGUCUUUGAAGGCAUAACAAAAUAAGAAACAAACAAGCAAACAUGGCUUUUAAGGAUAGAAAACAUUUAAAAUGCUGAUUGAGAAGAUAAAGCAAAGACCUUAAGCUUAAUAUUCAGAAGAGAAAACUGUAAUUGAGGAAUUAGGCAGAGUCAGGAAAGUCUAACAUGUCCGCUUUGUGGAAAUAAAACAAGUGAGACCCUAAAAAAGAUGCUUAGGGCCUAUAAGUUCCUUCUAAAUGAUCAUACAGUAACUCAUCGAAAACACAGAGCCACAUCAGCUAGAAACUAUUCAUGUCAACAUUGUGUAGAUAAGGAAGUAAGUUACUCAUGGCUAAUCUGGGGCCUGUCCAAUCCAGAAAUAAAACCAAGAAACCUCAGUAUUGAGGUUAAAGCAAACUACCCUUGACUGUCUUGUUUGUUUGUUUCUUAAGGACGAGUUUAUCUGUAUGAUAACAUGCAUAGGGGCAGGCUUGGUAGAAUAUGUGUCUACUCAUAGCAUUUGGCAGGCAGAAUUAAGCAAAUCUCUGAGUUUGAGCCCAUCCUGAUCUGCAAAUAAAGUUCCAGGCCAGCUAAAGCAAAAUAAAGAUCAGCCUCCAAACGUUGACACCAUUGCAUACACUAGCAAGAUUUUGCUGAAAUUCAGGACCCUGAUAUAGCUGUCUCUUGUGAGGCUAUUCUUGGGCCUAGCAAACACAGAAGUGGAUGCUCACAGUCUGCUAUUGGAUGGAACACAGGGUCCCCAACGGAGGAGCUAGAGAAAGUACUCAAGGAGCUAAAGGGAUCUGCACCCCUAUGGGUGGAACAACAAUAUGAACUAACCAGUAACCCCUGGAGCUCGUGUCUCUAGCUGCAUAUGUAUCAGAAGAUGGCCUAAUUGGCCAUCAGUGGAAAGAGAGGCCCAUUGGUCUUGCAAAUUUUAUAUGCCUCAAUACAGGGGAACACCAGGGCCAAAAAGUGGGAGUGGUGGGAGGAGAAUGGGGGGAGGGCAUGAGGGACUUUUGGGAUAACAUUAGAAAUGUAAAUGAAGAAAAUACCUAAUAAAAAAUUAAAUUAAAUUAAAAAAUCGUAGGCAAAAAAUAAAAACCACCCAAAACAACAAUGCAUAAGAGUUUUCCAAUAGUUUAAUGAAAAAAAAUCAGAUGAGAUGUUAAAUCUUAUUUAGAAUGUUAAAAACUGAAUGAGCAGACAAAUAUGUCCAAGUAUAGCCUUCCUUCUUUGCCAAUCAUUCCAGGACUGACCACACAGAUCCACUUCAUCAAACCUCUUCCAUUCCUUUUCCAGUUGACUCAGGAUUCUUGGAAAGGACAGGUAGUGGAAGGGACUGGCAUCAUCAGAGGCAAAUAUCGGUUUGAUAAAUCUGUAAAAUAGCAUAGAAGAUGUCAAAACAGAGCUGAACACUAGCUACAUACCAAAACAAGCAGCUAUUGCAAUAGAACAGUGCAAUAAAACUGAAACUGACUUUGGCUUGUACAGAGGAUAUUGGGGGUUUUAAAAGCAGAAUCAAGGAGUUUUUAAAGAGUAGAAUCAAGGAGUAACAGAAGAGAGGGACUUAAUUAUUACCAGGAAUUUUAGGGUUUUUCAAAAGCCAGGCUUGGCCAACAGUCAUCAUUACACUAAUCAAAAAAUCAACUAACUGGUAAAAAGCACAGAAGGAAUUAUUCAGUGUGGUCUUGUAAGAAAGAGAAACAAAUAACGAUGUACACUGACCUCUGAUCUGUCUUUGGGAGAAGGACAUGAGAUUCAGAUUGUAAGAGAAGGUUCUAGAAUGCAUUACCCAACCCUCCUGUGGAGGACAAGUCAACUUCUAAGAUCAGCUGCAGGUGGAACAGCUCUUGUAAGGAAAUAUUCUUAUCUGGUAGGCGAAAUGGCUCAGUCUCUUCCAUUUCAGUAUGCAGUUUCUGGGUAAAUUUUAGUUCCUCAAGGACAACUCUUCCAGCAUUCUGACACAAAAGAAAGGACAGAACCUCUUUCCUUAGAGCCCAUUUCUUCCCUUCAAGGAUGGUUACAUGACAUAGGAAUAUGAAAAAUGAUAGAAAUCAGGAUGACUGAGUUGCUCCAUUUGAAUCCUGUCUGGUUUUGUUGUUGUUCAUAUAACUCAGUUUAUACCUCUCCCUCCUGUCCACAAACCUAGGAGAUAGGGCUGCUAUUUAACGUUGCUAUCCAAGAAAAUAAUCUUUGUGGACUUAGGUUUUCUCAGGUAGGUCCUUUUAAAAAAAACUGUGAUUUUCCUAGGUAAAAUGCAGAUAUGAGCUCUUACACACUUUUCUCAUGAUUAUUCGUGUUUUUAUAGGCAAAGGUCUAGAAAUAGAGUAAUCCAAAUAAUUAUAAUAGCCAUUUUUUCCAUGGUAAUUGUAGCUGCUCUGAUAGAACAUUACACAAAUUAUUUCAUUUAGUAGCAAGAAUGGCUCUAUACUGGUCUGGACCCACAUGGUGGAAGAAGAGAACCAGCUCCCUCAAGGAUAAAAUAAAUAAAUGGAAUUUAUUUAUUUAUCUUGUGUGAGUGCUCAAAUAUGUGUGAGGACAAGCAUUCCCCAUACAUGUGUAGAUGGCAGAGGACAGCUCCUGGGAGUCUGUUGUCUCCUUCUACCACAAGAGAGCCUGGCAUCAAGUACAAUCACACACACACACACACACACACACACACACACAUACACACACACACAAAAAAAAAGAAUGGCUCUAUAAGAUAAAUGUUGUUGUUCAAAACUCAGACUUAGCAACAUUGACCAACUCAGUUAGCUUGGUUAGGUUUGAAUUAACAUUGAAAUCCAACUAAUACAACUAGUUCAAUAGCUGACCAUACAUCUUUAACACUGAAUGACAUGUUGUAACUACUCAAAUGCAACUUGGUGAAAUUAUUGCAAAUUGUUGAAUUUCUUUAUUUUUAGUCUUUCUUUGCACACAAGUCUGGGAAGGCUUACUCAAGUAACAAUUAGUGCAACUAAUAUAUAUAUAUUAAGAGACUACAAAUAAGAAUAUUUUGUAAGUUUUUCUUACAGAGUACAAACUUUUAUAUCUUCUAAAUGCAUCUUAUUUCUUUUACCACACAUUACAAUGGAAAUGAUUGUAUGAAUAAAUUGUAUAUGAUUGUACUAAAUGCUUACUUUGAGUUGAAUGAAAAUAUAAAAUACAUUAAUAUAUAAUGUAUUUUGGAUAGUUUAGAUAUCAUUUGUAUAAUCAGUCUCUUUCUCUCUCCCUGUGUCUCAAUCUCUCUUUCCCUCUCUUUCUCUAUCACUGGCCUCCAUUUCCUCUCUUCUGUUUUCUUCUUCCUGACUCCCUUUGUAGAUGUUUCCUUUGAAUCUUUAAAUUAUAGUCCUCAUAUAAGGCAGAGAACUAGUAAGGGACCAGAGUGGUGGAUCUCAAAGGAAAGGGAAUAUAACACAAAUGUCAUGAAAUGAUAAGUCUGAAUGGUGGACGAGGGAGAGUGAAACUGCUGGGGACAAUGAAAACAAAAAUGUCUGAGGAGAGCACAGUAACACCAAGGUCCUCAAAAAUGUCACAUGGCAUCUAAUAUUAUAAAAGUACAUACAAAAAAGAUAAACACACCACGCCUCCACAUAUAUAUAUAUUUCAAUAAUUUUUCAAUAAUAGUGAAUUAAUGCAUCUUCCUAACACUGUGGAUUACUAAAUAUCAAGGACACUGCCAGGCAGAAGUACCACAUACUUGAGCCAUGUGACAUGAUCAGAAGCUAGCUGGUCCCCAUUUGGAAUGCUUCAUCCUGUUAUCUGCCUUUUACAGAGCUCAGUUUCUUCUCACACUACCAGGGAGAAAUGAACCUUUGAUAACAUUCCAUAAACUAUAUAUUCUGCAGUUUUUUUCUAUCUACUAAAAAUUAUAGAAAUAAAUUUAAAAGAAUCCCAGAUUCUUGGGUAUAUUGUUGAUAUUAUGUAAUAGAUGUGUAUUUUACAGACACACACACACAUGCAUGCACACACACACAUUCAUGCACACAUACAUGCAUGCACACACACGCACACACACACAUGCAUGCACACACGCACACUUGCAUACAUACCCAUGCAUGUACACAUAUGCACAGACACACACACACACACACACACACACACACACACACACUGCACUUUUUUCUCACUCCCUCUGUGUGUUCCUGGGCACCUAUAAGACAGACCUUGAUGAUUUAAUAUUCACUAUACUACACAACGUUUGUUUUUGUUUUACUUCAGUGUUUUAGUGAAAGGAGAUGGGAUGGGUUUUUAGAUUACUAUGUAGGUUUUAGUUGAAAAAAAUAUUUGGGCUCCUAGAAAUGAUGUAUAUAUAUAUAUUGAUAUAUACAAAUAUAUGAUGAUUAUAGGUAUAGCUAAAAUAUUGUCUGCAGGAUGAGAAAUGUUAUAUUAGUCCACAGGUAUAGAAAUCACCUAAUUGAACUGUAACACUAUCAUCCCAUGUGUCGUGUUAAAUAUGAGAUAUUUUGACUUUUCUAAUUCCAUCACCUACUGAGCUCAGACCUUUUCACAACAAACAUUGUUAUAAAAGAAAGGUAACAGUUUGCCAACAGGUUAAGCCUUUCUUUAUGCAGCCCAAGUUGUUGUUAUUUUUAGUGUUUUACUGCAUUGGCUUUAUUAGAUAAUAAUUGAGUUGGGUUUUUAUUUUUCUCAGCAAUAUUCCUGUCGAGUUAGAAAGACGAAAAAAGAAUCAUCAACCACUUUCUAAGCUUAAGAUUCCUAAGGUGUUUUUAUUACCCUGUUCAAUAUUUUUAUCCUAAGGUAGUUUGUUUUAAUUUUCUGUCCAAUUUAAUAUCUCCUUUGAUUAUAAUUUCUGUAACCUGGUUAAUUUACAGUUUUAAACAUUUUCCAGAGUCAUUUCUCUCACAACAUAAUUAAACUAAAAUGAGGGCAAAGUAAAAAUAUUAAAGCAUUAUCCCAGAGUUCCAUUGUAGUCUUCAUCUAGACUUCAAGCUCAAUAUGUCUAUAAUUAAGCCUAGGCAGCGUGCCUAGAUCUUACAUAACCUUACAAUGGAGUCUGGGCAUGACACAAACAGACAGAUCUGACUUGGUAUCUCUCACUUAAGGAUUCAGCUGGAGCGGAAAUUGAACUCUGCUAUAUAUUUUACAGUGGGGAAGUUACUUAAAAGUUUUAGGUUUCAUUAAUCUCUCCAAUAAUACACAAAUAAAAACUAAAUUAAAAAUCAAGUCAGGUUGUGAGUAAGGUAAAAAUAUGAAGUGCCUUGAAUACUUUCUGAGUUUCUGUUAAUGAUCAUUAAAAUACUUUUAUUAUCAUCUUAAAAAUAAUUCAAGAACUAUUAUUCCCCAAAUCUGUUAAGCUCAGGCAGACAUUGAUCCUUAGCACCCAUGCUUUGCCUACUACAUCCUGAUUCUGAAAAUAGCUUUAUAAAUAUCAUCUUAAUUGUGAAUUUCUAGAAAUUAUUUUCAACUUGAGAGUCACCAUCCUUGAGAAUGAACAAAGACAUAAGUGUGUGGUAUUUCGGACCAUAUAUUCAUGUUGUGAUUAUAAAAGCUGGACUAUAACUAUCUAUAAAGUUUUCUCUUGAAGAAAAUAUGUAAUAAACCCUAUAAUAAUGACAUAUUGAUAUUCUCUUUAGCUGUGUUUCCACAAAUCUAUGACUUCACUACACAAAUGAGAUAUUUAUACAAAUUGGUAGUCAUCUGUUUUCUCUUUUAAUGUGCAUUCACCCAUUUCAUAGAGGAUUCUGUGUCUUGCAAAUUCUGUGACUUGUUAUAGGCAAAUAGAAUGUAUGCACAAGUAAACUGUGGCAAUUUAAAUGGUAUAAGGGCUACCUCAUAAUUUGUUAUAAUUUCUCUUUCUGGCCAUUGUUAAUCUGAACACAUUUGUUAUAUUGAGCUCCUAUAGGUCAUGAGAACCGAAUGGCUAUAAUGAGUCUAGUAUCUAAUGUCUUAGUCCAGUAACUUUGUAAGAUUAAAAUACCAAUUUUAUUUGUGGUGCAUAAAAGAGUAUGAGUAAUGGAUAGUCUAGUUUGAGAAAAGUGCUUGGAGACUUUAAGUGUCAGCAUGUAUGCAGUGUGUAGCAGAACAGACUAAUGGACCAUGUGCCCAGAAGUAACAAUACAGCCCAAACUUCAGGUGUUGUGACAUCUUGAUGUGAGUCCAAAAAUACUGCUGGCUUCUAGCAUGUGAAGAUUACAUUUCAAGCCUUCAGUACUAUAUGAGAAACUAGUUUUCAAAAGAUUACCAAAGAUAUGCUACUAAAAAAAAUUAACGUUUUUAUCUAUUUUCUGUAUUUCUUCAAUUUUUCAUACUAGUCCAUUCUAUAGGAAGCAAUCUCAUUUGACAUGAAAUUUCAUUAUCAAUCUCAGCUUAUUAGUAGAUUCCUUUAUUGUCUGUGUUUAUUAAAAGUAACAUUCUAUUUAUUGUUUCUGAAAAAAUUUACAUCUGAAACUUUUCUGUCAGCACUACAAGAUAUUAAUUAUUGUUUUUAACCAAGCCAUUCUUGUGUCUCAAUGUGUAGUCACACUAUGUUUUCUUUUACAUCCAUUUUUUUUCUUUUUAUAUUUGAACACGGACAUUCAUAACAUACUUUUCAGCUACAUGAAAAUUCAUUGAGCUAUAUUUUCAUUAUUCAUUCAUCUAAUGGUGAGGAUCUAGUCUGAUUAAACGCUCUUUUAAUAUGAAAGACCUGCUGUAAACUGAGGAUAUGCAGGGUUGAAGAUGGAGUCCAUUGGGUGAUGCCCAAGAGUGGUACAGCUAGGUCUCAUGCACCUUUCACAUUUAGCUUUAAGAGAAACCUCCAAACUAAUUUGCAAAGUGUAUUUUAGAAUAACACCAUCUGGGGUCUAACUUGAACAUUCCAUUCCCCUGCCCUGUAAAUUGGAAUUGGGGGUAAUUAAUCUAUCAGGGACAUUGUUUUCUCAAAUUUAAAUUGAGAAUGUAAAAGAAAUUUUAUUGUUAAAAAUUAUGGCUGUGAAAGAAUUUUGGAGCUUGUCACUUUUCAUGUAAAUGUAUGUUAUACUCAUUAUGUGCCGAGCUUAAAUUUUUAGUAACUAUAUAUUCUGUUUCUAAUUCCGAUCUUUGAAUUCAGAAUCCCCCAAUUCUCCUCUCAAAAAAUCUCGCAUGAUUGUCAUGUUCUCUCAUUUUUUCAAAUGAAUUUAAAGCUAGUGAAUAUAUGAGGCUAUAAUUUUAGAUAAAAGCACAAAGCUUUACUGGUAAAAGAUGUUAAUUCUUGCCACUAAGCCAUUUUAUGUAGGUUCCUGCAUAUCCAGUCACAAAGAUGCACCUAUUGCUAUGUUAGAGUUUAAAAGAUUUCAUACACUGUUACAAAGUAUGAACUAAAUAUGUCUGCAAUACCUUGUGAAGUAACACUCACUUAUUCAUGUUUGUUUGUUUGUUUGUUUUUAUUUCGCUGUAUUUUAUUUUAUUUUAUUAUUGCUUUCCCAUAUCUCUUUGUAUUUCAAUAAGAAAGAGAAAGACAGAGUGAGGAAUCAGAAGGGUUAGAUGCUAGGGAGGAUCUAGGAAAACAUAUUGUAUGAAAAUUUUUAUAAUAAAAAAUGUCUUCUGUAAGUUUACUCUAAAUAAAUCUAUAGGACAUCA
Mus musculus (house mouse) is the source of this 18298-nucleotide long non-coding RNA. RefSeq annotates it as predicted gene, 52150. NCBI's taxonomy places the organism in Eukaryota, Metazoa, Chordata, Mammalia, Rodentia, Muridae. The transcript is spliced from 2 exons. The record is from RefSeq and is a predicted model, not a curated record.